GCUUUUGUACACACCGCCCGUCGCUACUACCGAUUGAAUGAUUUAGUGAGGUCUUCGGACUGGUACGCGGCAUCGACUCUGUCGUUGGCGAUGCUACCGGAAAGAUGACCAAACUUGAUCAUUUAGAGGAAGUAAAAGUCGUAACAAGGUUUCCGUAGGUGAACCUGCGGAAGGAUCAUUA
Molecule: ribosomal RNA, 181 nt
Filed under: Omocestus bolivari
Lineage: Eukaryota; Metazoa; Arthropoda; Insecta; Orthoptera; Acrididae
Description: partial 18S ribosomal RNA
Rfam family: Eukaryotic small subunit ribosomal RNA
Source: RNAcentral